Molecule: transfer RNA, 63 nt
Filed under: Cavia porcellus (domestic guinea pig)
Lineage: Eukaryota; Metazoa; Chordata; Mammalia; Rodentia; Caviidae
Rfam family: tRNA
About the family: Transfer RNA (tRNA) molecules are approximately 80 nucleotides in length. Their secondary structure includes four short double-helical elements and three loops (D, anti-codon, and T loops).
Source: Rfam by way of RNAcentral
GGGGAUUUAGCUCAGCGGUAUAAGCACCUGCCUUGCAAGCACGCGUCGUGAGUUCAAUCCCCG